This 66-nucleotide transfer RNA is filed under the name bovine gut metagenome. It matches the Rfam family "tRNA", at positions 5 to 66 of the family's 71-position model. Rfam says of the family: Transfer RNA (tRNA) molecules are approximately 80 nucleotides in length. Their secondary structure includes four short double-helical elements and three loops (D, anti-codon, and T loops). The record is from RNAcentral.
GGUAUAGCUCAGUUGGUUAGAGCGCCAGAUUGUGGCUCUGGAGGCCGUCGGUUCGAGUCCGAUUAC